GACGAACGCUGGCGGCGUGCCUAACACAUGCAAGUCGAACGGAAAGACCCUUCGCGUUACUCGCGUGGCGUACGGGUGGGUGACACGUUGGUACUCUGCCCUGCACUUUGGGAUAAGCCUGGGACACUGGGUCUAAUACCGAAUAGGACCACGCUCUACUUGGUGUGUGGUGGCAAGCUUUUACGGUGUGUGAUGGGCCCGCGGCUUAUCAGCUUGUUGGUGGGUAACUGGCUGACCAAGUAGCCGCCGGGUAGGCGGCCUGUGCGGGUGACCGGUGACAAGGGGACUAAGAGAGGGACCAGAAGCCAACGGGAGGCAGCAGGGGGGAAUAUUGCACAACAGGCGCAAGUCUGAUGCGGAGACGUCGGGUGCGUGAAGACGGCUUACUGGUGAUAAACCUCUUUCAAUAGAGACGAAGCGGAAGUGACGGUACCUAUAGAAGAAGCACCGGCCAACUACGUG
RNAcentral lists this ribosomal RNA (462 nucleotides) under uncultured bacterium. RNAcentral describes it as "partial 16S ribosomal RNA". It matches the Rfam family "Bacterial small subunit ribosomal RNA", at positions 28 to 507 of the family's 1533-position model. The record is from RNAcentral.